Molecule: ribosomal RNA, 516 nt
Filed under: Fischerella sp. LCRNK37
Lineage: Bacteria; Bacillati; Cyanobacteriota; Cyanophyceae; Nostocales; Hapalosiphonaceae
Description: bacterial SSU rRNA
Rfam family: Bacterial small subunit ribosomal RNA
Source: RNAcentral
AUGCUGAGAAACGGUGGCUAAUACCGGGUAUGCCGAGAGGUGAAAGGUUAACUGCCUGGAGAUGAGCUCGCGUCUGAUUAGCUAGUUGGUGGUGUAAGGGACUACCAAGGCGACGAUCAGUAGCUGGUCUGAGAGGAUGAUCAGCCACACUGGAACUGAGACACGGUCCAGACUCCUACGGGAGGCAGCAGUGGGGAAUUUUCCGCAAUGGGCGAAAGCCUGACGGAGCAAUACCGCGUGAGGGAGGAAGGCUCUUGGGUUGUAAACCUCUUUUCUCAGGGAAUAAGCAAGUGAAGGUACCUGAGGAAUCAGCAUCGGCUAACUCCGUGCCAGCAGCCGCGGUAAUACGGAGGAUGCAAGCGUUAUCCGGAAUGAUUGGGGCGUAAAGCGUCCGUAGGUGGCUGUGUGUGUCUAUUUGUUAAAGAGUUUGGGCUCAACCCAAAUAAGGGGCGGGUAGAAACUACACAGCUUGAAGUGCGUUCGGGGGCAAAAGGAAAUUCCUGGGUGGUCGCNAUG